RNAcentral lists this ribosomal RNA (492 nucleotides) under uncultured bacterium. RNAcentral's name for it is "partial 16S ribosomal RNA". It matches the Rfam family "Bacterial small subunit ribosomal RNA", at positions 29 to 507 of the family's 1533-position model. The record is from RNAcentral.
AGUGAACGCUGGCGGUAGGCCUAACACAUGCAAGUCGAACGGCAGCACAGUAAGAGCUUGCUCUUACGGGUGGCGAGUGGCGGACGGGUGAGGAAUACAUCGGGAUCUACUUUUUAGUGGGGGAUAACGUAGGGAAACUUACGCUAAUACCGCAUACGACCUACGGGUGAAAGCAGGUGAUCUUCGGACCUUGCGCGAUUGAAUGAGCCGAUGUCGGAUUAGCUAGUUGGCGGGGUAAAGGCCCACCAAGGCGACGAUCCGUAGCUGGUCUGAGAGGAUGAUCAGCCACACUGGAACUGAGACACGGUCCAGACUCCUACGGGAGGCAGCAGUGGGGAAUAUUGGACAAAGGGCGCAAGCCUGGUCCAGCCAUACCGCGUGGGUGAAGAAGGCCUUCGGGUGGUAAAGCCCUUUUGUUGGGAAAGAAAAGCAGCAGGUUAAUACCCCGCUGUUCUGACGGUACCCAAAGAAUAAGCACCGGCUAACUUCGUG